AAAAAUCUAGUUAAAUCAAUAACAAAAGAAUGUCAUUCUUUAAUUACCCUAAGUGAUUUUUA
RNAcentral lists this transfer RNA (62 nucleotides) under Amblyomma triguttatum (ornate kangaroo tick). Its description in RNAcentral is "tRNA-Asp". Lineage: Eukaryota; Metazoa; Arthropoda; Arachnida; Ixodida; Ixodidae. The record is from RNAcentral.